Molecule: unclassified non-coding RNA, 250 nt
Filed under: Hevea brasiliensis (rubber tree)
Lineage: Eukaryota; Viridiplantae; Streptophyta; Magnoliopsida; Malpighiales; Euphorbiaceae
Source: RNAcentral
CUGCUGUCACAGUAGCCCCACAAACUUUGGGAAACAAUAACAACGGAUUCCCCAGUCAUUGAACAUUGUGCUCCUCAGUCCUCCAGCUUUUCUACAGAUUCCUACCUAGAAUAUUUAUAUGCUUAUCGCAGGCUAGAAUUCUAAGAGCAAUAAAUAGGGACAUAAUCUAUACGACCGAGUUCUUUACAUAGGACAGACGAGAAAUAUAACCUUGCACAAUCUGAACAUUCCGAUGUACCAAUACCAUGUC